UGGAAUUGUGACAGCAUCUUGUAAGU
RNAcentral lists this non-coding RNA (26 nucleotides) under Homo sapiens (human). Lineage: Eukaryota; Metazoa; Chordata; Mammalia; Primates; Hominidae. The record is from RNAcentral.